RNAcentral lists this microRNA precursor (260 nucleotides) under Drosophila guanche. The record is from RNAcentral. Lineage: Eukaryota; Metazoa; Arthropoda; Insecta; Diptera; Drosophilidae.
UGGGACAGAUGACUUACUGAGUAAAAGGGUAUAAAAGUUGUGAAGCGUAAGAAACGUCUCACACGUCCCUUCUCGUUUUAAUAAUUUUUUUUAGAGGUAGCGGUUCGGUUUUUUCACACAACUUUUGUAUGUCCCAUCUGUUUGUAAUUUUUUGCUAUUCUAAAAAGCUGAUAAACGCAUCUACAACGAAAAGGGACUUGUGAAAAGCUUCUUACGCGUCACAACUUUCAUACCCGGUACUCAGUACAACAUCUGUACCU